UACGGAGGAUGCGAGCGUUAUCCGGAUUUAUUGGGUUUAAAGGGUGCGUAGGCGGACUGUCAAGUCAGCGGUAAAAUUGAGAGGCUCAACCUCUUCCCGCCGUUGAAACUGGUGGUCUUGAGUGGAUGAGAAGUACGCGGAAUGCGUGGUGUAGCGGUGAAAUGCAUAGAUAUCACGCAGAACUCCGAUUGCGAAGGCAGCGUACCGGCGCCCUACUGACGCUGAGGCACGAAAGCGUGGGUAUCGAACAGG
Molecule: ribosomal RNA, 252 nt
Filed under: uncultured bacterium
Lineage: Bacteria
Description: partial 16S ribosomal RNA
Rfam family: Bacterial small subunit ribosomal RNA
Source: RNAcentral